RNAcentral lists this ribosomal RNA (450 nucleotides) under uncultured organism. Its description in RNAcentral is "partial 16S ribosomal RNA". It matches the Rfam family "Bacterial small subunit ribosomal RNA", at positions 333 to 799 of the family's 1533-position model. The record is from RNAcentral.
ACACUCCUGCGGGAGGCAGCAGUGGGGAAUAUUGGACAAUGGGCGCAAGCCUGAUCCAGCCAUGCCGCGUGAGUGAUGAAGGCCCUAGGGUUGUAAAGCUCUUUCACCGGUGAAGAUAAUGACGGUAACCGGAGAAGAAGCCCCGGCUAACUUCGUGCCAGCAGCCGCGGUAAUACGACGGGGGCUAGCGUUGUUCGGAUUUACUGGGCGUAAAGCGCACGUAGGCGGACUAUUAAGUCAGGGGUGAAAUCCCGGGGCUCAACCCCGGAACUGCCUUUGAUACUGGUAGUCUUGAGUUCGAGAGAGGUGAGUGGAAUUCCGAGUGUAGAGGUGAAAUUCGUAGAUAUUCGGAGGAACACCAGUGGCGAAGGCGGCUCACUGGCUCGAUACUGACGCUGAGGUGCGAAAGCGUGGGGAGCAAACAGGAUUAGAAACCCCGGUAGUCCCAUG